Molecule: long non-coding RNA, 745 nt
Organism: Enhydra lutris kenyoni (northern sea otter)
Lineage: Eukaryota; Metazoa; Chordata; Mammalia; Carnivora; Mustelidae
Exons: 3
Source: RefSeq, a predicted model, not a curated record
CGGGUGUCCCCUGCGCUGGCCGACCGCCGGACGGCUGCGGACACAGGAAAAUGGCUUGAAUCCCGACUCCUUCACUGACUCGCUGUAAGAUCCUGUGGCUGCUGAGCCUCAAUUUUCUCCGUUGUACAAUGCAGACCUAGUCUGCAGAGCUGUUGCAUGCAGGUGGAGUUCCAUAGAUGCAGACUUGUGCCCAAGCGGAAGAGAAUGGAGGCCUCUACGGAGCUUCUUCGGGGUCUCUAGAACGUGCAGCUUGGCUCUUGGCCAACCCGCACUCCCUUGGAAACCCGGUGGAGAGGAUGUGGCAAAGCCAGGCUCCAAGCUGGCCCAGGGAUUAGGCCACUGUGUUCAGGGAUGGGCUUUCUGCUGCCUGCCAGGUCCCAGGCUCCCUCUUCCCUGGAUGGAGCUGGGGAACCCUGCCAAAUUCUCGCUCCAACCUUCCAACAUUCGUUUAUUCAGUGAAUAUUUAUCGAUGCCCGCUGGGGACUUUGGUGGCACUGGAAACAGAGUCGUGCUCAGGCUUGAAAUAGGGAGACCAAGGACUUUUUGUGCAAUCUCAACCGAAUGUGAUAACUACACUGGCGCCUCCCUGCAGCUGCCUUGGCCCCUCUCCAGGCUGCUCUGGGGCCUCGGAAACCCUGACCUGUUCCUGGUUCUCUAGAGGUCGUAGGAAAAACACCCACCCCUCACCCUGGUCUACAGGGUAGUCUUUUGUUGUUGUUGUUUUUAAGAUUUUAUUUAUUUAUUU